CAGCCCCGGCCCCGGACCGACCACAAGCGAGCGCUCUUACCCAGGCAGCGCUUCAGUCCCACACCGAGAGUGCCCGCACCUUCCAGAACCGGAGUCAACAAACCCAAGCGGCCCUGCUUCACCCCGGAUCCCGGGCUCAAGCGACCUCGGCGCCUGCGGGACCGCGAGCGCCCACCCCUCCGCCCGUGAUCCCGCUCAGUCGCUUCCAGAGCCUUCCCAGGGCCGGCGGCCAUCACAAGUCCGAUCGGCACCGCUCGGGGCACGCCGGGCGCGGCCACGCCGGCGCCCGAGGCCACGCCGCUCACCGGCACGCUGCCCACGACGCCCACGCGCGGCAGCGUCAGACUCACCGAGGGAGGCCCAGGUGAUGACGGACGUCGGCGGACUCGACUUGCACUCGGCCUGGUCUCCACGCUCAGGCGAGCAGCUGACAAAUGUGUGUCGGACAAAAAGGCCCAAACCGACGCCGCUGCUGCGACAAAGCUUCUCAUCGCGUCUCCCAAGAUUCUCCUUCAGGCGGACCAAUUCGGCCGUCGUGAUCCAUCCUUUAAAUACGAGCAAACGUAGCGCGGCGCGGCGGCUAGCCUCGCCAUUCGACUGACUGUGGAAUGGACUGUCUGUCGGAACGGAAGAAAAAAGGCGGAGACUUUUUUUUGUUUUUGUUUUGACGGCGUUUUGCAGAAAUGCCUUUCUCCUGUUUUCUGGUUGGCUGAGGUUAGCAGAGGUUGCAUGAUCCCUCCCCUCGCUUCUAAUUGGCUAGAACGGCCUGCUCGAGGUUCGAGUGCCGUCUGCGUCAUCCCAAGACGGAUGUUCUCUUUUCUCACCUGACCCCUUGUUGUGCUUGCGCCGUUUCUGGAAAUGACUUUCCUCUGCUGUCCAAUUGGCUAAAAUAUGCUUAUUGUCCCAAAUGUUGAUUUUUUUUGUUUGUUUUUGUUUUUUGUUUGUUUUUGGAAUGUUUUUGUGCUUACUGUCAUGUUAUUUUCAAGUGUUUUUGACGAGCGGCUUGACGGGUCUGGCUUGGCCUUUCCUCAAGUCGCCGCCUUCUGAUUGGCUAAACUAACCUGUUCCUGGUAAUAGCUACAUCUGGCGAAGCCCCCCCCCCCUGACCCCCGCCCCCAUUUUAUUUUAUAUUGUUACAUUUUUAAGAAUCCCUCAAGUGACUUUUUUUGGGAGGGGGGGGGGCUUUUCCAUGCCUGACUUCCGACGUCUGCUACAGUCGUUCAAUGGUGCCGCUUUUGAGACCAUGCCAAGUUGAAUGUACAAUGCCCAUUUAUUUUGCGCCUUCUGUUUACGGAUGCUCGUGGCGACGCUUCUCAAUUAAGAGGAUCGGCCUCCACGGAGCCGCGCAAGCGCCGCUCGGCUAACCGUGACGGGGAUCCCACAACUGGACGAGUGCUUCUUAUUGACAGGCUUUUAUGCGACUCGAAUGAGUCGGGGAAGUCACGGCGCCCGCGCACAAGCGAGGUCGGCACAAAGCGACGAGCCCGGCUGGAAGGGGGCCAAUUUAUGCGCCGGGGUCAUCAACGCCGAGGAAUGUCAUGAGCACUUUUUGUAUUUCUUGAUUGGGAGGUUUGCUGACUCAGGGAUGUGCUUUCCAAGGUUUUAUUGAGCUCUUUGUUUUGUGAUGCCGAGACUAAACUUGAACAUUUGGACGUGCCAAAGGUAACUGAACGCGACGACAUCAUAAAAGUCUGUUCACACCAU
Molecule: long non-coding RNA, 1704 nt
Organism: Hippocampus zosterae (dwarf seahorse)
Lineage: Eukaryota; Metazoa; Chordata; Actinopteri; Syngnathiformes; Syngnathidae
Exons: 2
Source: RefSeq, a predicted model, not a curated record